UACAGAGGGGGCGAGCGUUAUUCGGAAUUAUUGGGCGUAAAGGGCGCGUAGGCGGCCUGUCAAGUCAACUGUGAAAUCUCCGGGCUUAACUCGGAACGGUCAGUUGAUACUGUCAGGCUAGAGUGCAGAAGGGGCAAUCGGAAUUCUUGGUGUAGCGGUGAAACGCGUAGAUAUCAAGAGGAACACCUGAGGUGAAGACGGGUUGCUGGGCUGACACUGACGCUGAGGCGCGAAAGCCAGGGGAGCAAACGGG
This 253-nucleotide ribosomal RNA is filed under the name uncultured bacterium. RNAcentral describes it as "partial 16S ribosomal RNA". It matches the Rfam family "Bacterial small subunit ribosomal RNA", at positions 524 to 776 of the family's 1533-position model. The record is from RNAcentral.